GACGAACGCUGGCGGCGCUGCUUAACACAUGCAAGUCGAACGGAAAGGCCCUGCUUUUGUGGGGUGCUCGAGUGGCGAACGGGUGAGUAACACGUGAGUAACCUGCCCUUGACUUUGGGAUAACUUCAGGAAACUGGGGCUAAUACCGGAUAGGAGCUCCUGCUGCAUGGUGGGGGUUGGAAAGUUUCGGCGGUUGGGGAUGGACUCGCGGCUUAUCAGCUUGUUGGUGGGGUAGUGGCUUACCAAGGCUUUGACGGGUAGCCGGCCUGAGAGGGUGACCGGCCACAUUGGGACUGAGAUACGGCCCAGACUCCUACGGGAGGCAGCAGUGGGGAAUAUUGCACAAUGGGCGGAAGCCUGAUGCAGCAACGCCGCGUGCGGGAUGACGGCCUUCGGGUUGUAAACCGCUUUCGCCUGUGACGAAGCGUGAGUGACGGUAAUGGGUAAAGAAGCACCGGCUAACUACGUGCCAGCAGCCGCGGUGAUACGUAGGGUGCGAGCGUUGUCCGGAUUUAUUGGGCGUAAAGGGCUCGUAGGUGGUUGAUCGCGUCGGAAGUGUAAUCUUGGGGCUUAACCCUGAGCGUGCUUUCGAUACGGGUUGACUUGAGGAAGGUAGGGGAGAAUGGAAUUCCUGGUGGAGCGGUGGAAUGCGCAGAUAUCAGGAGGAACACCAGUGGCGAAGGCGGUUCUCUGGGCCUUUCCUGACGCUGAGGAGCGAAAGCGUGGGGAGCGAACAGGCUUAGAUACCCUGGUAGUCCACGCUGUAAACGGUGGGUACUAGGUGUGGGGUCCAUUCCACGGGUUCCGUGCCGUAGCUAACGCUUUAAGUACCCCGCCUGGGGAGUACGGCCGCAAGGCUAAAACUCAAAGGAAUUGACGGGGCCCCGCACAAGCGGCGGAGCAUGCGGAUUAAUUCGAUGCAACGCGUAGAACCUUACCUGGGUUUGACAUGGAUCGGGAGUGCUCAGAGAUGGGUGUGCCUCCUUUGGGGUCGGUUCACAGGUGGUGCAUGGCUGUCGUCAGCUCGUGUCGUGAGAUGUUGGGUUAAGUCCCGCAACGAACGCAACCCUUGUUCACUGUUGCCAGCACGUUAUGGUGGGGACUCAGUGGAGACCGCCGGGGUCAACUCGGAGGAAGGUGGGGAUGACGUCAAGUCAUCAUGCCCCUUAUGUCCAGGGCUUCACGCAUGCUACAAUGGCUGGUACAGAGAGUGGCGAGCCUGUGAGGGUGAGCGAAUCUCGGAAAGCCGGUCUCAGUUCGGAUUGGGGUCUGCAACUCGACCUCAUGAAGUCGGAGUCGCUAGUAAUCGCAGAUCAGCAACGCCGCGGUGAAUACGUUCCCGGGGCU
Molecule: ribosomal RNA, 1347 nt
Filed under: uncultured bacterium
Lineage: Bacteria
Description: partial 16S ribosomal RNA
Rfam family: Bacterial small subunit ribosomal RNA
Source: RNAcentral